Long non-coding RNA from Lemur catta (Ring-tailed lemur), 1468 nucleotides. RefSeq lists it as uncharacterized. The transcript is spliced from 9 exons. NCBI's taxonomy places the organism in Eukaryota, Metazoa, Chordata, Mammalia, Primates, Lemuridae. The record is from RefSeq and is a predicted model, not a curated record.
CCGCCGCAGCGGUUUCUAAGUGGGCUCUGCAGCCUCGGGCUUCGGCCCGUCCCGGGGCUCACGGAUGCUCGCGCCCCCUGCGGUCGGCGCGCUGGCCUGAGCCUCUGGCUCGCGGCCGCAGCCGCUGCAGACGCUGCCUGGCGCGGUGGGGCAGCGAGCAAAAUGGCCUGCAACUACGGUUGCCUAGGGGCUGUGCAGAGCCCUCCUCGGAGGACGACCCUACCCCAGCCUAACUUCUGUACCCCUGCAUAGCCCCCCAAGUGAAAGCCGUGCCCUGGGGGCCUACUCAACACCGAACAUACCCACGGUGAAAAAUUGACCAAGAUAAUAAUCAAGAAUGUUAGAAGUAACAAAAUAGCAUUUAAGGAAGAAAGCAUACCUAUAAACUUUCACCUAGGAAGGAAAAGGUGCUUACUUUGUCAGAUGUAGCAUUGUCAAAACAAGUGUGAAGCUUGGAAAUGGAGGACCUGUAUGUCUGAGAAGAUGAAAUUAAGGCCCAUCUUAGAGGUGCAACAAAAAUCUGUACAUCGUUCGCUGAUCUGUGUCUAAGAUCCUGUGGGAAACUAUAGUACUCUGUGCAACAGAAUCUGAAGGAGAAGGGCUCAGAAGUGACAGAUUUAAGUGUACCUAAAUCCCAGGACUCACUAUGUCCAGCAGCAAGACUUAGAGUACAUCAGAAUAUUAGCUCAGAAACUGAGGAACAUCAAUUCCAUGCGGUACUUUCUCCUGAGUGAAAGGCCACUUCUGCACAGAGAUGGCUUACAAAGAGAUCUGCAGGAAAAGCCAGGGUUUAAGAAGCAGCUUUGGAUUCCACUGGCUUCAUUCUUCAGGUGAAAACACAGAAGCUUGGAGAAGUUGAGGGAAGUCAGCUGCCAUGUUGUGAGCGGCUCCAUGGAAAGGCCCAUGUGGCAAGGAACUGAGACAUCUUGCCAAUAGCCAGUGAGAAACCGAGGCCUCCAGUCAACAUCCAGAGAUAUUUUCAGGAUGAAACUUGACUUGGGGAGUCUGUUCAAUGGAGGUCUGUGGAGAGGGACUGAGAAGGAGAUGAACGUGCUUUCAUCUGGGCGCCUGCUGCCCUUGCAGCACCACAUCAGGGGCAGUUCUUGGGAGCCCUAGGUCCUACAUGAUUCUGCUUCUCCUGUGCCUCUGCAUCACCAUGGAAGACUCUGCUUCACCUCAACUGCCCAUAGGAGGAAGAGGGUUACUAUAAAAGGCAAAACAUUUAAAGGAGAGUCUUCAAACAACAAACAAACCGAUCAGGAAUCCACAAAUCAUUGCUCUAGGUUAGUGGUUCUCAAUAGACGUGAUUGUGUCCCCCAGGGGAAUUUGGCAAUGUCUGGAGACAUUUUUUGUUGUCAUGACUUGAGGGUGAGCUGCUAAUGACAUCUGGUAAGUAGAUGCUGGGGGUAUUGCCAAACAUCCUACAAUGCACAACAUAGACCCCCACAAUAAUAAACUAUUUGGCCUA